RNAcentral lists this long non-coding RNA (1037 nucleotides) under Apteryx rowi (Okarito brown kiwi). RNAcentral's name for it is "lncRNA (ENSARWG00000005712.1)". The record is from RNAcentral. Lineage: Eukaryota; Metazoa; Chordata; Aves; Apterygiformes; Apterygidae.
UUCCAGCUCACUCUGGAAAGAACAAACCGUUUUUUAGGAAUCAGAUGUUAUCCCAUGUUGAUGAGAGGUAAUCAUUAGUCAUUAGCAUGUCUAUGAUCUGUGAAAGAAAUGCAAUAAGCUAAAAAUUCCCAGUUAGAGUCAACCUUAGCUCCUGAUCACCCUGCUUUGUAUUUACAGCAAACUGAGCCUGUAGACCCCAGAUACUAUGAAGAAUCUUUCCCACAGUAUCUUGGAUUCCAAGACUUGCUUAUUAAGGACAGUAAGAAGCACAGCAAAAAUGUCAUCUGUGACUUUAUAUGAUGAAUCCUGGCAGUUGCUACAACUCAUCACUUCUAGAAACAAUAAACUAAUCCCAAAUCUGGAUUUUUCAUUUUCCUUUUUAUAUUUUGUGCCUGAGUUUCUGCCAGAUUACACCCAUGUGACACUUGAGCCUUUAGUCACAUAGCUGUUAUUUUCGUGUGAAUUCUGAGCCCACAGCCACGCAACUGAAGGACAUUUUUCAAAAGAAUUUAGCUCCUACUUUCCACCUAGGAUAUGUGAAAAACUUUAAAAACUUUUAGUCCCCUAUUUAAAAAAAAUGCAGCCUCAAGUUCCUGGCCUUAUCUGGUGGAUAUUGAACACUUUGGAGAAUCUGAGCCUUAUUUAGCUGCCUAAUUGGGCACUUCUGGUGAUUGGUGGAGCAUGUGAAAAUUUGCUGUUUGCCCUGAAUGCUGAAACGAUGCCACUCAACCUCUCUCGUAUGCUCUAGGUUGCACUUGGUCUGAGAUCGUACAUCACAGAUGUGGUUCAUUGCUGCUUUAUUUUCAGAUUUGCUGUGUUUCCAUGGGCUUGACCUGUGAGUUUCUGAGUACUAUUGACUGCUGCUGAAAUCCUUUUGGUUGUGGAGGGUGCUCCACAGCUCACCAACCCAAGUCUCAUGGUAUUAUCCCAUCACAUGCUUGUUCCUCUGCUUCAGCCUCUUCUAGAAGCAUUGGAGUAUUUUUGGUUUGUUUUUUGUUUUCUUCCUGGAAUGAAUUAAAAAUGUUAUUUGACUCAAG